UCAUGAUGUAGCCUAAAUAUGGCACUUUGCUUACACCAAAGAAAUACUUGUUAAAAUCGAGUCAUUAUGAG
RNAcentral lists this transfer RNA (71 nucleotides) under Onychodactylus zhaoermii. Its description in RNAcentral is "tRNA-Val". It matches the Rfam family "tRNA". From Rfam's summary of the family: Transfer RNA (tRNA) molecules are approximately 80 nucleotides in length. Their secondary structure includes four short double-helical elements and three loops (D, anti-codon, and T loops). Further hydrogen bonds mediate the characteristic L-shaped molecular structure. tRNAs have two regions of fundamental functional importance: the anti-codon, which is responsible for specific mRNA codon recognition, and the 3' end, to which the tRNAs corresponding amino acid is attached (by aminoacyl-tRNA synthetases). tRNAs cope with the degeneracy of the genetic code in two manners: having more than one tRNA (with a specific anti-codon) for a particular amino acid; and 'wobble' base-pairing, i.e. permitting non-standard base-pairing at the 3rd anti-codon position. Lineage: Eukaryota; Metazoa; Chordata; Amphibia; Caudata; Hynobiidae. The record is from RNAcentral.